This 347-nucleotide unclassified non-coding RNA is filed under the name rhizosphere metagenome. Its description in RNAcentral is "partial ribosomal RNA internal transcribed spacer region". The record is from RNAcentral.
GUAGGUGAACCUGCGGAAGGAUCAUUAACACGUAUCCAACGUUAAACAACCCUGUGAACCUUGAACGUGCUCUCGUACACGCUCUAGCAGCAAUCCCUGGUAAAUCAUUGUUGACCAGCUAUUGAGUCUGGGACUUCUGCUAGAAAACCAUACGAUACGAGCGCCAGAGUAAGUGCGGCCUGGCAUCCUAGCAAUCUGUCAGUGGUUGCGCAAGGAUGGCGCAGUAAACGAUCGCUGUAGGCCCACACGGCCGGCGACCGGGCCUCUGUGCUUCGACACCUAAUGACACCAGUUUACAACCGCACCACAAACUCGAACAACUGUUAACAAUGGAUAUCUUGGUUCUU